RNAcentral lists this ribosomal RNA (1335 nucleotides) under Triticum aestivum (bread wheat). RNAcentral describes it as "partial small subunit ribosomal RNA". The record is from RNAcentral. Lineage: Eukaryota; Viridiplantae; Streptophyta; Magnoliopsida; Poales; Poaceae.
AUGGCUAUUACCACAUUUACUCCUUUGUGGAUUGAGGCAGUAGAAAAAAGCUACGAACUAGAUGACCACUGCAAACAACUACUCCAACAGCUAUCUAUUGCUCCUGACCCAACAUCUAAAUAUACAUUGUCAGACGGCAUACUCCGGUACAAGGGCAGAAUUUACCUAGAUGAGCAUACCCGGGAGCAAAUAAUCAACUCCUUCCAUACAUCUGCAAUAGGAGGACACUCAGGCAUGGUGGCCAAUUACCAGAGAAUCAAAAGAAUUUUUUACUGGCCUGGCCUCAAGAAACAAGUCCACAAGUUCAUAGCAGAAUGUGCAGUCUGCCAAAGGGCGAAGGCAGAGCAUUGCCACUACCCAGGUUUACUAGAUCCCCUGCCUCUUCCGACACAAGCUUGGACUGAUAUAACAAUGGAUUUUAUUGAGGGUCUCCCCAAAUCACAAGGCAAGGAAGUCAUUCUAGUAGUGGUGGAUAGGUAUACAAAAUAUGCUCAUUUCAUUGCCUUACCCCACCCCUACAGUGUCAACACAGUAGCUCAAGCGUUUAUCGAUAAUGUCUUUAAGUUACAUGGACCCCCAGUGAGCAUCGUCACAGACAGGGACAGAAUCUUCACAAGUAAUAUGUGGCAAGGGGUUUUCAAGUCACUAAAUGUGCAGCUCAAGCUUAGUACAACACACCAUCCUCAAACACAUGGUCAAUCCGAGAGGGUAAACCAACGCCUAGAAUCUUAUCUCCGCUGUAUGACAUUUCAAGAACCAAACAAGUGGGUUGCAUGGAUGUCCCUUGCGGAAUGGUGGUAUAAUACCUCAUAUCAUACGGCUACAAAGGAAACUCCAUUCAAAGCCUUAUAUGGAUAUGCUCCUCCAAUGAUAAGUGAAGUUGUAGUCCCGGGUCCUGCUGAUAGUGAAGCACAAGAGUUCCUCCAUGAUAAGCAGAGAACAUUGGCCCACCUCAAGGAAAACUUACUGCAAGCUCAACACAGAAUGAAGAAGUAUGCAGAUAAACACAGAUGUGAAAGAUCAUUCAAAGUGGGUGAUAUGGUGUACUUGAAAAUGCAACCAUAUAGAAGAGCUUCAUUUGGACUCAGACAAGCCAUUAAGCUGACUACCAAAUUCUAUGGGCCUUUUCGCGUGAUGGAAAAAUUGGGCAACUCUUCUUACAAGUUGCUGUUACCACCGCAGGUGCAAAUUCACCCGAUUUUUCAUGUCAGCCAAUUGGAGGGCCACAAGGGCUCCCAUGCCAUCCCAAAUCAAGAACUCCCUUUAGGCCUUGUUCGGUUAAGCCACUCCUCAAGUGGAUUGGAGUGGAAUGGAGGGGAUUUGAGGGAAAAUUGA